CUACGGGUCGCUGCAGUCGAGAAUAGUCUACAAUGGACGAAAGUCUGAUAGUGCAACGCCGCGUGGGUGAUGAAGCAUUUCGGUGUGUAAAACCCUUUUCUUUGUGAGCAAUGCCAUUAUGGUUAAUAGCUAUAGUGGAGCGAUAUUAGCAGAGGAAUAAGCCACGGCUAACUCCGUGCCAGCAGCCGCGGUAACACGGGGGUGGCGAGCGUUGUCCGGAAUCACUAGGCGUAAAGGGCAGGUAGGCGGAAUAUCUAGUCAUUUGUUAAAGGCAUUGGCUCAACCAAUGUACGGCAUAUGAUACUGGUAUUCUAGAAUUUGGUAUGGGAAGACGGAAUUCCUGGUGUAGCGGUGGAAUGCGCAGAUAUCAGGAAGAACACCGGAGGCGAAGGCGGUCUUCUGGGCCAAAAUUGACGCUCAACUGCGAAGGUGUGGGUAUCAAACAGGAUUAGAUACCCUAGUAGUC
This 466-nucleotide ribosomal RNA is filed under the name uncultured bacterium. RNAcentral describes it as "partial 16S ribosomal RNA". It matches the Rfam family "Bacterial small subunit ribosomal RNA", at positions 339 to 795 of the family's 1533-position model. The record is from RNAcentral.